This 661-nucleotide ribosomal RNA is filed under the name Henriciella marina. RNAcentral describes it as "bacterial SSU rRNA". It matches the Rfam family "Bacterial small subunit ribosomal RNA", at positions 114 to 810 of the family's 1533-position model. Lineage: Bacteria; Pseudomonadati; Pseudomonadota; Alphaproteobacteria; Hyphomonadales; Hyphomonadaceae. The record is from RNAcentral.
CGCGUGGGAACGUACCCUUCACUACGGAAUAGCUUCUGGAAACGGAAGGUAAUACCGUAUACGCCCUCCGGGGGAAAGAUUUAUCGGUGAAGGAUCGGCCCGCGUUAGAUUAGUUUGUUGGUGGGGUAAUGGCCUACCAAGACUACGAUCUAUAGCUGGUCUGAGAGGAUGAUCAGCCACACUGGGACUGAGACACGGCCCAGACUCCUACGGGAGGCAGCAGUGGGGAAUCUUGCACAAUGGGCGAAAGCCUGAUGCAGCCAUGCCGCGUGAAUGAUGAAGGCCUUAGGGUUGUAAAAUUCUUUCGCCAGGGAUGAUAAUGACAGUACCUGGUAAAGAAGCCCCGGCUAACUUCGUGCCAGCAGCCGCGGUAAUACGAAGGGGGCUAGCGUUGUUCGGAAUUACUGGGCGUAAAGCGCGCGUAGGCGGGCUAUUAAGCCAGAUGUGAAAGCCCGGAGCUCAACUCCGGAAUUGCAUUUGGAACUGGUAGCCUAGAGACCAGGAGAGGUUAGCGGAAUACCGAGUGUAGAGGUGAAAUUCGUAGAUAUUCGGUGGAACACCAGUGGCGAAGGCGGCUAACUGGACUGGUACUGACGCUGAGGCGCGAAAGUGUGGGGAGCAAACAGGAUUAGAUACCCUGGUAGUCCACACCGUAAACGAU